This 69-nucleotide transfer RNA is filed under the name Loxodonta africana (African savanna elephant). It matches the Rfam family "tRNA". Rfam says of the family: Transfer RNA (tRNA) molecules are approximately 80 nucleotides in length. Their secondary structure includes four short double-helical elements and three loops (D, anti-codon, and T loops). Lineage: Eukaryota; Metazoa; Chordata; Mammalia; Proboscidea; Elephantidae. The record is from Rfam by way of RNAcentral.
ACCCUGGUGGCUUAGUGGUUAAGAGUUUGGCUUCAAACCAAAAAGUCAGCAGUUCGAAUCUACCAGGUG